This 204-nucleotide small RNA is filed under the name Microcebus murinus (gray mouse lemur). Its description in RNAcentral is "7SK RNA (ENSMICG00000024994.3)". It matches the Rfam family "7SK RNA", at positions 9 to 251 of the family's 331-position model. Rfam says of the family: 7SK was discovered as an abundant small nuclear RNA in the mid-70s but a possible function has only recently been suggested. Two independent studies have found that 7SK RNA binds the CDK9/cyclin T complex (known as elongation factor P-TEFb). The record is from RNAcentral. Lineage: Eukaryota; Metazoa; Chordata; Mammalia; Primates; Cheirogaleidae.
GGGUAGGUUAGUUUUUUUCAAAUAUAAAAUCUUCUCCCUCACCACUCCAGGUGCGUUCCUCCUGAAGGUGUGCACUUGGUUGAAGAGGAUGACCUUCCCUGAGAGAGGAGGACUGUUCAAGGGUUCUUCUGUCAAUGAGCAGCUGUGCUCCCCAGCUAGAACCUCUGAACAAGCUCUUAAAUAUAAAAUCUUUUAAACUUUUUU